Molecule: ribosomal RNA, 424 nt
Filed under: uncultured bacterium
Lineage: Bacteria
Description: bacterial SSU rRNA
Rfam family: Bacterial small subunit ribosomal RNA
Source: RNAcentral
GGGGAAUCUUGCACAAUGCGCGAAAGCGUGAUGCAGCAACGCCGCGUGCGGGAAGAAGGCCUUAGGGUUGUAAACCGCUUUCAGUUGGGACGAAGCUUUACGAGUUAAUAGCUCUGUGAAGUGACGGUACCUUCAGAAGAAGCGCCGGCUAACUACGUGCCAGCAGCCGCGGUAAUACGUAGGGCGCAAGCGUUGUCCGGAAUCAUUGGGCGUAAAGCGCGUGUAGGCGGCUGGGUAAGUCUGCUGUGAAAGUCCAGGGCUCAACCCUGGGAUGCCGCAGAUACUGCUUGGCUAGAGUACGGGAGGGGCGAGUGGAAUUCCUGGUGUAGCGGUGGAAUGCGCAGAUAUCAGGAGGAACACCUAUGGCGAAGGCAGCUCGCUGGAACGUUACUGACGCUGAGACGCGAAAGCGUGGGGAGCAAAC